This 468-nucleotide ribosomal RNA is filed under the name uncultured bacterium. RNAcentral's name for it is "partial 16S ribosomal RNA". It matches the Rfam family "Bacterial small subunit ribosomal RNA", at positions 28 to 507 of the family's 1533-position model. The record is from RNAcentral.
GACGAACGCUGGCGGCGUGCCUAACACAUGCAAGUCGAACGGAAAGGCCCUGCUUUUGUGUGGUUCUCGAGUGGCGAACGGGUGAGUAACACGUGAGUAACCCUCCCUGGGCGUGGUGAUAACCUCAGGAAACUGCUGCUAAUACCGGCGAGCAGCUGCUGCUGCAUGGGGAGGUUCGGACAUCUUCGGCGGUUGUGGGUCGACUCCCGGCUUACUAGCUGGUUGGUCGGGUAGUCGCUGACCCAGGCUUCGAUGGGUAGUCGGCAUGAGAGGGGGACCAGGGUCCAUAGGCCUGAGAGAGGGACCAGACGGCAAUGGGAGGCAGCAGUGGGGAGCCUUGCACAACGGGGCGGAGUGUGAUACAGAAAUGCCGCGUGCGGGAUGACGGCCUUCUGGGUGUAAACCGCUGUCGGCUGAGACGAAGCGUGAGUGACGGUAAUGGGUAAAGAAGCACCGGCUAACUACGUG